UGAUGAAGGCCUUCGGGUCGUAAAACCCUUUUCUGGGGGAAGAGUAAGGACGGUACCCCAGGAAUAAGCCUCGGCUAACUAUGUGCCAGCAGCCGCGGUAAUACAUAGGAGGCAAGCGUUAUCCGGAUUUACUGGGCGUAAAGAGCGUUGAGGCGGCUUCGUAAGUUGGACGUGAAAGCUCCCGGCUUAACUGGGAGAGCCGUUCAAUACUGCGGGGCUGAGGGCAGCAGAGGGGGGUGGAAUUUCCGGUGUAGUGGUGAAAUGCGUAGAUAUCGGAAGGAACACCAGUGGCUGAGGCGGCCCCCUGGGCUGCUCCUGACGCUGAAGGCGAAAGCUAGGGGAGCGAACGGGAUUAGAAACCCCGGUAGUCCUAGCCGUAAACGAUGGAUACUAGGUGUAGGAGGUUAAAAUCCUUCUGUGCCGGAGCUAACGCGUUAAGUAUCCCGCCUGGGGAGUACGGUCGCAAGGCUAAAUCUCAAAGGAAUUGACGGGGGCCCGCACAAGCAGCGGAGCGUGUGGUUUAAUUCGAUGCAACACGAAGAACCUUACCAGGGCUUGACAUGUAGGUAGUAGUGAAGCGAAAGCGGAACGAUCCUUCGGGAAGCCUACACAGGUGCUGCAUGGCUGUCGUCAGCUCGUGCCGUGAGGUGUUAGGUUAAGUCCUGUAACGAGNCAACCCCUGCCGUUAGUUACAAGUGUCUAACGGGACUGCCCGGCAAAACUGGGAGGAAGGUGGGAUGACGUCAAGUCAGCAUGGCCUUUAUGUCCUGGGCUACACACACGCUACAAUGGCCGGUACAAUGGGUUGCCAAGCCGCGAGCGGAGCCAAUCCUCUAAAGCCGGUCUCAGUUCGGAUUGUAGGCUGCAACCCGCCUGC
This 877-nucleotide ribosomal RNA is filed under the name uncultured Chloroflexota bacterium. RNAcentral's name for it is "bacterial SSU rRNA". It matches the Rfam family "Bacterial small subunit ribosomal RNA", at positions 406 to 1319 of the family's 1533-position model. Lineage: Bacteria; Bacillati; Chloroflexota. The record is from RNAcentral.